AGUGAACGCUGGCGGUAGGCCUAACACAUGCAAGUCGAACGGCAGCACAGUAAGAGCUUGCUCUUACGGGUUGCGAGUCGCGGACGGGUGAGGAAUAUAUCGGAAUCUACUUUUUCGUGGGGGUUAACGUAGGGAAACUUACGCUAAUACCGCAUACGACCUACGGGUGAAAGCAGGGGAUCUUCUGACCUUGCGCGAUUGAAUGCGCCGAUGUCGGAUUAGCUAGUUGGCGGGGUAAAGGCCCACCAAGGCGACGAUCGGCAGCUGGUCUGAGAGGCGGGUAGGCCACCUUGGAGCUGGGACAGGGUCAAGACUCCUACGGGAGGGAGCAGUGGGGAAUAUUGGGCAAUGGGCGCAAGCCUGAUCCAGCCAUACCGCGUGGGUGAAGAAGGCGUUCGGGUUGUAAAGACCUUUUGUUGGGAGAGAAAAGCAGCAGGUUAAUACCACGCUGUUCUGACGGUAACCAAAGAAUAAGCACCGGCUAACUUCGUG
Molecule: ribosomal RNA, 492 nt
Filed under: uncultured bacterium
Lineage: Bacteria
Description: partial 16S ribosomal RNA
Rfam family: Bacterial small subunit ribosomal RNA
Source: RNAcentral